This 141-nucleotide small RNA is filed under the name Flavobacterium sp. 2. RNAcentral's name for it is "Flavo-1 RNA". It matches the Rfam family "Flavo-1 RNA". The record is from RNAcentral. Lineage: Bacteria; Pseudomonadati; Bacteroidota; Flavobacteriia; Flavobacteriales; Flavobacteriaceae.
CCCUAGCCCCGAUUGCAGUGGAAAGCCUUUUUGAAAAAGAUCAAAUUUUUCUUGAGUUUAUGAAGCGACCAACGGAAGCUUUAUAAACUUUUAGAAAAAUGAGAUUUUGAAAAAAGCUUGAAACGAAAAGCGGGAUAAGCU